AGGGUUUGAUUAUGGCUCAGGACGAACGCUGGCGGCAUGCCUAACACAUGCAAGUCGAACGAGAAAGUCACUUCGGUGGUGAUUAAAGUGGCGCACGGGUGAGUAACGCGUAGACAAUCUGCCCCUCAGUCUGGGACAACUUUUCGAAAGGAGAGCUAAUACCGGAUAACAAUAUUUGACAUAAGUUAAAUAUUUGAAAGCUUUAUGUGCUGAAGGAGGGGUCUGCGUCCCAUUAGCUAGUUGGUGAGGUAAAGGCUUACCAAGGCAACGAUGGGUAGCGGGUUUGAGAGGACAAUCCGUCACACUGGAACUGAGACACGGUCCAGACUCCUACGGGAGGCAGCAGUGGGGAAUAUUGCACAAUGGAGGAAACUCUGAUGCAGCAAUGUCGCGUGAGUGAAGAAGGCCCUUGGGUCGUAAAGCUCUUUUAUGGGGGAAGAUGAUGACGGUACCCCAGGAAUAAGCACCGGCUAACUACGUGCCAGCAGCCGCGGUAAUUC
Molecule: ribosomal RNA, 500 nt
Filed under: uncultured bacterium
Lineage: Bacteria
Description: bacterial SSU rRNA
Rfam family: Bacterial small subunit ribosomal RNA
Source: RNAcentral